CACGUAGGGCGCGAGCGUUGUCCGGAAUUAUUGGGCGUAAAGAGCUCGUAGGUGGUUCGGUAAGUCGGGUGUGAAAUCUCCAGGCUCAACCUGGAGGGGUCAUUCGAUACUGCCGUGACUAGAGUUCGGUAGGGGAGUGUGGAAUUCCUGGUGGAGCGGUGAAAUGCGCAGAUAUCAGGAGGAACACCCGUAGCGAAGGCGGCUCUCUGGGACGAAACUGACACUGAGGAGCGAAAGCGUGGGGAGCGAACAGG
Molecule: ribosomal RNA, 254 nt
Filed under: uncultured bacterium
Lineage: Bacteria
Description: partial 16S ribosomal RNA
Rfam family: Bacterial small subunit ribosomal RNA
Source: RNAcentral